GUCACGGUGACCCGAAAUAGUAAAAUGGUUUCCGGAUGAUAACUCAAGAACGCUUAGGCCUAGGAUCAUGAAACUUGAUAGGUAAAUUGAUCAUGACUCGCAGAUGACCCCUAUUGAUUUUCAAGUCACUAGGUCAAAGGUAAAGGUCACAUUGACCCAAAAUUGUAAAAUGUUUUCCGAAUGAUAACUCAAGAACGCUUAGGCCUAGGAUCAUGAAACUUGAUAGGUAGAUUGAUCAUGACUCGCAGAUGACCCCUAUUGAUUUUUAGGUCACAAGGUCAAAGGUCAAGGAAACGUUGACCCGAAAUAGUAAAAUGGUUUCCGAAUGAUAACUCAAGAACCCUUAUGCCUAGGAUCAUGAAACUUGAUAGGUAGAUUGAUCAUGACUUGCAGAUGACCCCUAGUGAUUUUCAGGUCACUAGGUCAAAGGUCAAGGUCACAGUGACCCGAAAUAGUUAAAUGGUUUCCGAAUGAUAACUCAAGAACGCUUAUGCCUAGGAUCAUAAAAAUCUUCAUAAGUACAUUGAUCAUGACUUGCAGAUGACCCCUAUUGAUUUUCAGGUCACUUGGUCAAAGGUCACGGUGACCCGAAAUAGUAAAAUGGUUUCCGGAUGAUAACUCAAGAACGCUUACGGCUAGGAUCAUGAAACUUCAUAGGUACAUUGAUCAUGACUGGCAGAUGACCCCUAUUGAUUUUCAGGUCACUAGGUCAAAGGUCAAGGUCACAGUGAC
Molecule: long non-coding RNA, 732 nt
Organism: Dreissena polymorpha
Lineage: Eukaryota; Metazoa; Mollusca; Bivalvia; Myida; Dreissenidae
Exons: 2
Source: RefSeq, a predicted model, not a curated record